This 468-nucleotide ribosomal RNA is filed under the name uncultured bacterium. Its description in RNAcentral is "partial 16S ribosomal RNA". It matches the Rfam family "Bacterial small subunit ribosomal RNA", at positions 28 to 507 of the family's 1533-position model. The record is from RNAcentral.
GACGAACGCUGGCGGCGUGCUUAACACAUGCAAGUCGAACGGAAAGGCCCUGCUUUUGUGGGGUGCUCGAGUGGCGAACGGGUGAGUAACACGUGAGUAACCUGCCCUUGACUUUGGGAUAACUUCAGGAAACUGGGGCUAAUACCGGAUAGGAGCUCCUGCUGCAUGGUGGGGGUUGGAAAGUUUCGGCGGUUGGGGAUGGACUCGCGGCUUAUCAGCUUGUUGGUGGGGUAGUGGCGUACCAAGGCUUUGACGGGUAGCCGGCCUGAGAGGGUGGCCGGCCACAUUGGGACUGCGAUACGGCCCAGACUCCUACGUGAGGCAGCAGUGGGGAAUAUUGCGCAAUGGGCGGAAGCCUGAUGCAGCAACGCCGCGUGCGGGAUGACGGCCUUCGGGUUGUAAACCGCUUUCGCCUGUGACGAAGCGUGAGUGACGGUAAUGGGUAAAGAAGCACCGGCUAACUACGUG